UACGUAGGGGGCAAGCGUUGUCCGGAAUCAUUGGGCGUAAAGAGCGUGUAGGCGGCCAGCUAAGUCCGCUGUGAAAUCUCGAGGCUCAACUUCGAGCUGUCGGUGGGAACUGUCUGGCUAGAGUCCGGAGGAGGAGAAUGGAAUUCCUGGUGUAGCGGUGAAAUGCGCAGAUAUCAGGAGGAACACCGGUGGCGAAGGCGGGUCUCUGGGCCGAUACUGACGCUGAGGAGCGAAAGCGUGGGGAGCGAACAGG
Molecule: ribosomal RNA, 253 nt
Filed under: uncultured bacterium
Lineage: Bacteria
Description: partial 16S ribosomal RNA
Rfam family: Bacterial small subunit ribosomal RNA
Source: RNAcentral